This 288-nucleotide long non-coding RNA is filed under the name Prunus persica (peach). RNAcentral's name for it is "long non-coding RNA (PPER_LNC001739)". Lineage: Eukaryota; Viridiplantae; Streptophyta; Magnoliopsida; Rosales; Rosaceae. The record is from RNAcentral.
UUGGAGAGCUGUUGAGGCGCAUUCCGUCGAACACGAGGUGGGCAUUGAGGCGUUCAACAAUUUGGGGUUUGAAUUGCCGCCGGAGACAAUAGCUGCUGGAGAUGAGGUGGCGGCGAGCUUGGCGCCGGUGGUGCAGAGUGAGGAGAAGGAUCUGAAGUUAGAGAAUGAGGAAGAGACUCAAGUAGAGAAAGACCCAUUUGCUGCGAGUGAAAAGAUUAAUCAGCCUGAAGAGUUGGUGAGUGGGUUCAAGAAGAAUAAGGAUCCUUCGGCCACGGACUUAACACUGGC